This 468-nucleotide ribosomal RNA is filed under the name uncultured bacterium. RNAcentral's name for it is "partial 16S ribosomal RNA". It matches the Rfam family "Bacterial small subunit ribosomal RNA", at positions 28 to 507 of the family's 1533-position model. The record is from RNAcentral.
GACGAACGCUGGCGGCGUGCUUAACACAUGCAAGUCGAACGGAAAGGCCCUGCUUUUGUGGGGUGCUCGAGUGGCGAACGGGUGAGUAACACGUGAGUAACCUGCCCUUGACUUUGGGAUAACUUCAGGAAACUGGGGCUAAUACCGGAUAGGAGCUCCUGCUGCAUGGUGGGGGUUGGAAAGUUUCGGCGGUUGGGGAUGGACUCGCGGCUUAUCAGCUUGUUGGUGGGGUAGUGGCUUAACAAGGCUUUGACGGGUAGCCGGCCUGAGAGGGUGACCGGCGACAUUGGGACUGAGAUACGGCGCAGACUCCUACGGGAGGCAGCAGUGGGGAAUAUUGCACAAUGGGCGGAAGCGUGAUGCAGCAACGCCGCGUGCGGGAUGACGGCCUUCGAGUUGUAAACCGCUUUCGCCUGUGACGAAGCGUGCGUGACGGUAAUGGGUAAAGAAGCACCGGCUAACUACGUG